GUUGUCUAAACACUCUCAAUACA
This 23-nucleotide small nuclear RNA is filed under the name Arabidopsis thaliana (thale cress). Its description in RNAcentral is "snRNA_11665". The record is from RNAcentral. Lineage: Eukaryota; Viridiplantae; Streptophyta; Magnoliopsida; Brassicales; Brassicaceae.